UACCUACCGAGGGGGGAAGACUGGAAUUUUACGCGUCGUAUGACUAAUGAUUUCCUACCCGAAGAGGGGACGACGAACAACGAGUAUAUCCGAGCCGGUUACACAAAGCGAACGAGGGUGCGGUUGCCGUGGAGACGGCUGGUUGAUGCCUAUUGAUAUCCUUCUCCCCUCGCGUAUGGCGUAUGUCUAAAGCUGAAAUCCCCCUCGGUACUACCACAGGACGACUAUUUCUACAGCCGUGUUAUUUUUCAGAAUAAUAUUCUGUUAAAACAUAUAUGAAAUAUUGUGUUUUUACACAGCAAAAACUAAAGAAAUAAUCCGAAUAUUUUUUUAUAUACCUACCCAAAAUAUUCUCGACAUUAACAUAGAAAAAUGUACGGUUAAUUAUGAAAAAAAAAUAAUAAUAAUGAAUUUGUAAGAACAAUAUAUCACUGGCCACUGCAUCGGUACAUAUUCUCUAAUGUAAUCUAAUAUAGCAUGAAUAUAUAAAAAUACGUUUCAAUAUGUACCACAAGCUAAAAUAUUCAGAAAUAUGUACGAAAAAACACGAAUUCGAUAGAUUACAUAGGUUAUGGAACGUAACCAUUUCUUACUCCAAUAAAACGGUAGAUAAAUAUAUUCGGUAAAAAUAUAUUUUUGUAUAUAAAAACCCGACAUUACUUGGGUAUUAUAAAUAUUAAUAUUUUAUUAUCUGUAAUAGGCUUAAACAAUUUCAACUAGUGAUUGACGAAUAGUCAGUGGCGUAGCUAGAUGAGAAGGGACACCGGUGCAGAAAAAAUCUCUAAACUUUGAAAUANUGGUCUAUUAAUUCUUGUACAGAUGCGACAUUUUUUGAAUCAAAUUUUUUUUUAAUAUUUUCUUGGAAAUCUCGAAGUAUACCUAAAUGAUUACAUUUUCCCUAGAUAGUUAUAGCAUAUUGAAGAUGAGAUUGUACAAACGCACAAUAUACAGAUGUUUACAACUAAAUACUAAUGCAACGUUAUGUGCGGACAAUAAUUUUUUUAGUUUGAAUACUCCAACUAAGUUCUCCAUCAAUUAUACAUCCUAGAUAUUUAUAAAUACCUACCGGAGAUAUCGAAGUACAAUUACAAUUUUUAUUAUUUUAACAAAAAUAUUCAUGAAUUAUUAACUUAUUUUUUUUUCAACUCUUGCGGAGAAAUCUAUACACUGCGUUUUGGAAGUAUUUAAGGAUAAUUAUUUUUCUAUUAGCCAAUUCCAAACUUUAGAGAGAUGAUUAUUAGCUUUUUCAUACAAUUCUUCUGAACUAUCUCCAUCGACUAUAAGAGCUGUAUCAUCUGCGAAUAGUACUAAAUUUCCACUUAUUUUAAUGUUUGUUAAACUAUGGACAUAAAUAAUAAAUGACAAUGGACCCAGACAUGUUCCUUGUUUGACACCAGAAUGAAUAAAUUUAUUUCAGAUUUUGUUUUACCAAUUUUUGUACAACAUGUUCGGUUCACUGAAUAUGAUUUAAACAAAUUUUCAGCUAUUCCCCU
Molecule: non-coding RNA, 1493 nt
Organism: Cinara cedri
Lineage: Eukaryota; Metazoa; Arthropoda; Insecta; Hemiptera; Aphididae
Source: the annotation of a GenBank genome assembly